UUAUUGCUAUAUACCACAGGUCCAGCAUGGGAACUUGGUUCCAGUAGGUGCUCAAUAAAUAUUUAAGUAAACCGAGUGGCUGAAUGAGUGAACAAAUAAAGGGAUGAAUCAAAGUGCUCCACAAAAGAAUUGCCAAUUCUUUUAAUAGAAAGUGGAAGAUGAGCUCUGAAGGAAGAAAGACAGACAACAUUACAACUUCAAAGAAUUGUGUAAGGAGUUGGAUAUAUACACAAGAUUUAUAUAGCUGUCAAUCAACUGCUAUUGGAAGCCACACCUAUCACAAGAGCUAGUGGAAGAAGCAUCAUCUUAUCCUAAAAGGAAUCGUCUAUGUGUUCUUUAUGUCUUUGUAGAAUACCAGUUGCACCAGGUACAUUGGCAAGUCAUUUGGUUAUUGCUAAUCUGACCAAACCUACUCCACAAGAAAUAAGUUGGGAUACUUCAUACAAACUGAAUGCAGAUACCACAGAUUGUCAUCACAUCCUUCAAUCGCCUUGUCAGUUUUUUUUUUUUUGUCCUUUUUUGAUAUUAUUAACUAAGUAGGUUAGGAAAAAAUUACUAACCUCAUCAGGUAUUUAAAAAUGUAAAGCAAAAUAUACGUGAUGGAAGACGGCACUAGUUUAUGUCAGACAACUGUGAAGAUAAAAUAGGAUACUGUUAGUAGACCGAUGGUGUGCAGUGUGGACACUGUAUACAGAUGCUGAGCUGUUAGUAAAGAGCUGCUUAUAAGACAUCUCUGCUGCUUGAUACCUGAAUCUGCAAAUGUUGGACACUGUCCCCUAGAAGAAUCUACAGCGUCUUGGCACAGGAUGUCAGUUUCAUGGGUCGAGAUGUUGAGGAACUUGUACACACAGGACCUGAAUUUAAACGCUGGGAGCUCAGUAGAUAUGCCGACUUGAAUGGCUUCGUAGACAGGAAUCAACAAUGGCAUGGGUCUGAAGUACUGAAACAGCACAAAGAAAUGAAGUUAAAACAAAAGAGAGGGCUAAAGAGCAAAUAGUGUGUCUUUGGUGGAACUAAAGCUCAUCAUUGAUGGAAAUACACUGAGCAUGUUUAGGGAGCUGGGCACUCUAAUUCAUGAUCACUCCUGUCAGUGGAAAAAUGCCAGUCUGCCACCAUGCUCACUAUUUAGAACUCCCACUUCAGUUUCAGUUACUUCUCCUUUGGACUUUUGAAGGCAGAGUUGCCCUCGUCCUUCUCUGAGUCAAGUAGCACCACUAAAUCUUUGCACUGAAUCUCCACCUUACCUGCCAUCCAGCUGGCAAGUAUGGCCCUGGGAACUAGCCCUAACUGACAACACAGCAUAUGAAGACAUCGUGCUGUCAGGGACUUUAAAAGGUGCACAGAUUGUCAUCAGCAAGGGACAACAGGUGCUGCUGAGGAUAUGGUGAAAAGGGAAGCCUCAUCCACUGUUGGUGGGAAUGUAGAUUAGUCCAGCGACUGUGGGAAACACGUGGAGGCUCUUCACAAAGUUAAAAAUUGAUCUGCCAUAUGAUCCAGCAGUUCUAAUUCUGGGCAUAUACCCAAGGAAAAUGAAAACGAGUUUGCUGAGAUCUUUGCACCCCCGUGUUUAUCGCAGCAUUAAACACAGCAUUCUUCACAAUAGCUAAGAUGUGGAAACAACCCAAAUGCCAAUCAAUGGAUCAAUGAAUAAAAGAGCUGUACAUAUACACAAUGGAAAGUUAUUCAGCCAUGAAAAGGAGGAUAUUUUGCCAUUUGCAACAAUAUGGAUGGACCUUGAGCAUAUUAUACUAAGCGAGAUAAGUCAGAGAAAGACAAAUACUAAAUGAUAGCACUUAUAUGUACAAUCUAAAAGGUCAAACAUGUUUAAAAAAAAUGGUGGUUAACAGGAAAUGGGGGCUGAAGGGAUAAAAUGGAUGGUGUUUCAGGAUACAGACACAAAAUGAGUAUUGAGCCACAGAGAUCUAAUGUACAGUAUAUUGAAUAUAGACAGUACUAUUGUACAAUAAGUAUAUAAAGUGAUAAUGUUGCAACCUUAUUAUAUCAAUGUAUCAAAGUAAUGUGUGUAUAACUUAAAUUUAUACAGGAUUACAGGUCAAAUUUAUCCAAUUAAAGCAUUUGUUUUAAAUAAAAAGGAGCAUAGUUGAUGAGAAUGUUGCUGUUGCUGCUACAUG
Molecule: long non-coding RNA, 2132 nt
Organism: Lutra lutra (Eurasian river otter)
Lineage: Eukaryota; Metazoa; Chordata; Mammalia; Carnivora; Mustelidae
Exons: 4
Source: RefSeq, a predicted model, not a curated record